UUUUGCUGCCCUCCUUAGUCUUUUCUUGAUUCCGCGGUAUUGUUGGAUUGAAGCAGCUUGGACCGACAUUGCGCGUACGCUUACGAGAGACUGGUUUCAUCGCUACGAGUAACCUUGUUGCUCAAAGAUGACUGGCAAGUGUCAGUUUCUCCAACUUUAGUUGAAUCAGAUUUGACCGAGGAGGUCCUUGUAUAAGGUUAAAUAGCAAUUCAUAUAUCUCCGUUGUGGUAUUUGCGUAAGUAAGAUGCGAUCCUACUAGAUACCCAUGGUCACCACGUNNNNNNNNNNAGCACUAGAUCGUGGGACGGUUCGCGGGGCGGAUCGAGGGACGUGAGGACGUUCCACUACAUCAACCGCGUUCACUAACGCUUCUGCUGUGCGAUCUACAAGGGUACGUAGAUCGAAUAUCCCCUCUUGUAGAUGGACAUCACCAUGAUAGGUCUUCGUGCGCGUAGGAAAUUUUUUGUUUCCCAUGCGACGUUCCCCAACAUUAUGUCCCCCUCCACGGCUCCCUUCCCAGAUCCGCGUGGGCAAGCCCAGCCAGGCGCUCAUCGAAUGCCAGGGGCCGGACCAGCCCCGCCUAGAUGCCGCAGAUGGGAGCUACAGACCCGGGCGGAUCUGGCCGGACUCGCACGAGCACGCAACCGCCCAAAGUGGAUCCUCUCACGGCCGCCGCACCGCAAACCCCUGCCCUGCUCGUCAGCGUGCCAUCACCUGGCUUCCCGCCGCCGAACGAAGAAUGCGCCGCCGCGCCACGGCCCCCGCUCCAUGGGGCACGAGCGGGUGGGAAGAAGAGGCCCCGCCACCACUAACACCAGCCGGGUCGGGCGGCGAGGAGGGAGGGCGGAAAAGGAAGGGGCAGAGGCGCGGUGAUUAGGGUUCCCCUCGGGUCGCUCCCGAGAGUGACACGGGAGGGGACUCAUGUAAGUUCCGCAGAAAAGGGUCUUCACUCCGAGAACUCCUACUCAAGUUAGCAACACAAGGCAGGCAUAUUGUAUGCAGUACACCCUGGGAGGGUAACUAGUGAACUAGAUCAACCAAAAAAUAACGAUCAAGGAGUUCAUAUUUUGAUAAAAGACUAGCAAAAAGGCCCGUACGUUGCAACGGGAAAAAUAAUUAUAAUCUGCAAUGAUGAUGAUCACAUUAUGUCGGGGUGCUGAUCCUCAAGACCUAAGUUGGGAGACUUCCCGUAUGCUAUGGAGAUUCGCAGACGGUCAUGUGUAGCGGUGACGACGACGGUGCGUCCUCGGCUCAUUCCGGUGGAUGUGGCACUUCAAUGGCCCCUUAGGGACUUUGUAGUAAUUAUUUAUCUUUGUGGGGAGCUAUUUUGUAUCUUGUUGGAUUUAUUAAUAGAUUUUUGGGCCUGUUCGCAAAGAAAAAUAUGAUAAAUGAUGUUGCACAAAAAAUAAAGGUGGGGUGAUUUGUUUGUGUGCUCAAGGUGUUUCUAAAAAUCUUUAUGGACACAAUUUUAAACAAUAUGAAAAUCAAAUUAAGCCAUUUGUUUACAUAAAUGGCGAAGGAAAUAUAUACAAUAGGCAACCUAAAUCUAAUUUCACAAACAAGCAACAUGGAAGAUAAUAGCAUAUUUAAAAUCUACAUAUUUUUCUGAUGGGUUUUUCUAUGUAAUAUGUUGGAUUUAGAAUUGAUAUUUGAAUAGCAUAUUUAAAAUCUACAUAUGUUUCUGAUGGAUUUUUAUAUGUAAUAUUUUUAAAUUUAUAAUUGAUAUUUAAAAGAUAUAAAUAUUUAAAAAGGUAUUUUAAUCUGCCAAGAAAAUUAUUCUCGCCCAAUACAGUCUUAUGGAUACAUAGAGAAAAGGGGUAAAAAAAUAGUGAAGGAAAAAAGAUGGUGGUAGCUGGGAUCGAACCGCGCUCUACCGUGCAUGAGAGAGAGGCGUUAGCCACCUAGCUGCCCAUGUGCCUGUGAUUUAUUAUGAAAUUUUUGUAUAUAUGAACCAAAGAGGAUGGCUAAUGUUUCAACCCAAACCGUUUUUCUACUUAUCCGUGACAUGGUGGGUAAUUAUUUGCAACUUCGGGGGCAAUCUCAUGACGGACGAUAGAAGCAAUAUUUGCUUUAUUAUUAAUAGCAAAAAUACCCGUACGUUGCGACGGGAAGAAAAAGUCACCACUCAUACACACCAUCAAGACAUCAGUAAAUCUUUUGAAAUCUUUGACGAUGUAACAUGACAAAUAACAUGUUAAGUGGUGUUGCGCAUAAACAAUGAAAAUGGAAUGAUUUUUGAAGUAUACUCAAUAUGUUUUAAAUUGACUGAACAACAAAAAUAUCUACCUAAUAGGAGAUAUCUCAUUACUCAUUUUUUGCCAUUCCUCCUCGUGACGCCCAAUAAAUACUUGCAGUACGAUGAAAAUAACAUCGUACAUUUUUUGUAUACAUCAAAAAGUUUUGUACUGAAGAUGUUUUUAAUUUAUUAGAUAACAAAAAAUAUCUACCAUUCCUCCUCGGAGAUGCCAACAAAUACUUGCAGUGCGAUGAAAAUAACAAAGUACAUUUUAGUUAUUAAUGAUAGCAUAUUUUUAUCUUUCUUUCUUUGGUAUAUUUUUCAGGGUUUAUGUUAUUUUUUGCUUUCUUUGUUUUUUUAUACACCAAGAAUAAUUUUUAUAUACAGGAUUAAGAUUUUCCAAAUAUAUAAUUAACAUUUUUGAUAACUUAUAUUUGUAUGUCUAUUUCUCUCAAAUACACCAUACAUUUCUUGUAUACACCCGUUUUUUAAUAUAUUUUAUGUCUACUUAUAUUUUAAUAUAUUUUGUGUCUAUUUUUGUCAUAUAUAUUGUACAUUCUAUAAUUUGUAUAUAUAUUUAUGUCUACUUGUUUUUGUUAUGUCUGCUUUUCUCUUAUACAUAUAAGUUGUUUUAUAUACACAUUUGACAAUUGGAAAAUACAUGAUUAACAUUAUGUAUAUACACAAUUAACAUUUGGUAAAAUAUUUUUUAUGUCUACAUUCUCCAUUAACAUUGUACAUUCUUGUAUAGUUAACAAACAAUAAUAUGUACACAUUUAACAUAUUCCAGUUUCAUGGUCGACAUUUUUUUAAACAUAUAGUUUUUUUGCCUAGUUUUCCUAUACACAUUCAACAUUUCUUGUAUACAUCAUGAUCAUUUUUAAUACACACAUUUAACAUUGUCCAAAUACAUGAUUCUUGAAAAUUUAUAAUUUUUUACGUCUACUUUGUUCUANNNNNNNNNNGAAACUUGCAUUAUUAUUUUCCUAAUUUUAAUUUCCAUAUACAUGAUUCUUGAAAAUUUAUAAUUUUUUACGUCUACUUUGUUCUAUACACAUUGUAUAUUUUUUGUAUACAUCAGAAACAUUUUUGUGACACAUUUAACAUUUUUAAAUGCAUUCUUAUCUUUUUUAGAAAAAACCAAAACUUGCAUUAUUAUUUUCCUAAUUUUAUUUUCCAUAUACACUACCCAUUUGCUUGUAUAACAAUGAAAACAUUUUUUCGAGACAAGUUUAACAUUUCUUUAACGCAUAAUUAACAUUUUUUAAAAAUUUACAUAUAUAUUAUUUUUAAUAGAAAUAUUCAGAGGUUUUUCGAAAUAAAACAAAAAGAAAGAAAACCCAAGUCUAAGAAACCACAAAAAAAAAGAGGAAGGCCCAUGCUGUGCCGGGCCAAUUGGGCAGCUGUCAAUAAUGGAAGCGAAAAUGUAGAAGAAAGAGGAAUGGGAGUUCAUUGCAAUUCGUAUUUAAUGGAUAUUUAUUGCAAUUCGUAUGGUCGUCGGAAAGAGAGAAAAAAAGACAGUGCAUUACAGAUUAAAUUUGCAUAAAAAAUAAUAUUUAAGAAGUAUUCAACAGCUAAAAAUAACAUCCUAGAUUCUACACAUUUUUUCAAUCAAAUUUCAUAUAUAACAUGUUAAAAUCAGACUUACGGUUUAAAAGAUAUGGAUAAUUUUGUUUUAGAUAAAAUAUGGAUUGAUUAACUGAAAAGUCAGGGUUUUUUUGUUAAAACAAAAAACAUUUCGGCUGACAUAAAUAGGAACGGCGGGUUGAUUACCUGAAACAUCAAGGAGUUUUCUGUAAAGUGCAAAAAACUGUUCGGCACCGACUAAAAGAUGGACCGCGGGUUGAUUAUCUAAAACAAUGAGGACUUUUCUAUAAAAGGACAGAAAACGGUUCGUUCUGACUUAAAGUUGGACUUCGGGUUAAUUAACGGAAACUACGAGGACUUUUCUACAAAAUGACGGACGAUGGGCGACAGAAGCGCUGCGCGCUUUAUUAUUAUGGGAGAUUAAGGAAAGAAAAGGCAGUGAAUCUGCUCCUCAAAAAAAUCUGCUCCCCCGUAUAUGGAAUAUUUUUCUAAUAGAACAUGUACAUAAAUCUUUUUCUACCACAAAAAAAGGUACAUAACCCAUUUCAUUCACACAUAUAGGACGCAGCAGAGAUACAUCCAUCAGCAUUAACCACAUUCUCCCCCGCAAAAAAAACAUUAACCACAUUCUAAAAUGGCUUGUAAACAUCCUAUGGCAGCCGUGUCUGUUUUUUAACUUUACAUUUGCGCUUAAUGUAAAGGAAAAUACAAGAUGUACAUAUCCACUUGCUUGGAGCCUUCGAGUAAAAUACACAGAUUAAUCUAAUUUACAACGCUGUGUGUGUAUACUCUCUCUCCCUCUAUCUUUCUACAUUGUAUAGGAGCAGACACUUUACACAACUAACUCCUUCUAGAACAGAGAACUCGAUCGUAAACAAUGUAUACUUGUGUACUUUACACAUGUUGCCGACACACAGGGCAUGAACCGUGGCCACUGAGCCAUUUGUCCACGCAGAGCUGAUGAAAUACAUGGGAGCAAUUGGGUAGUCUUCUCGCCGUCUCACCGGCUACCAUAUCCUACAAUAUCAAGAAGCACACUACUAAGAAGAAGCACACUACUAAGAUUUAGGAGAUUGAGAACAAAUGAAAACAAGGUUACUAGAAAAUAAUAAGAGAUUUUAAGAUGCUCCCUCUUACAUCCUAUUCCCUCAGUUUCAAAAUACUUGUUGAACUGAAACCACGACAAGUAUUUUGAAACCGAAGAGUAGUGGUAAGAGAACAUUUAAUCUUAGCCCUUGAUUUAUCAAUGACAUUUUUGACUAUUCAAAUAUGGGUAAGUAGAACAAAAUUUAAAAAAUAUUACCAACAUAUUUAAUGGUUUUCUUUCCAGACAGAGACUUCCCAUUCGUCAGAAAAGUUUCUAUCUAUAAUAUGAGGCGUGUGAUACGCAUCGGGUGAUGAUAGUAUUGGAUCAGUUACCUCCGCUGCCUUUGGAUGACGUGCACGAUAGCCCUUUGAUCUCAUGCGUGUAUCCAUAAUUUGCAUAGAAAUCUUUGCAACAAGCUCAUUUUCACAAAUCUUUGCAACAUAGCUCAUGUUGCACAAGGCUUUGCAACAAAGGACAUGUUGCAUAACAUUGUCGCCAUCGCAGUAUAAGAAUCUUUGCACCAGCUGACCUUAUAUUGCAGAAACCUAUCCGUUCCAUAUCCAAAUCCUUAAGCCUCUUGGAGCCAAAGGUUGUCUCCGUCACUGUUACCAUAGAUGGCGAGCUAGAGCUGGACUACGAUAUGCCCGGCGGCGCGAACACAAGUGCUGCGCGACACAACGAUGUUGGAGGAAGACGGGAAUGAGCGGGAGAGGAGAGAGACGAUGAAGGAGGCUGAAAGACCGCGGUAAUUGUUUCACUUGUCGGUGGCCAUUGCUGCUCCUAUCUUAGUCAUCAUCGAUCGCCGCUGCGGAGAUCCAAACGUUGUCGUCGCUGCUACGUGCCGAUUGGCCCACCAACAUUUUUGUCCUAAAAAAACUGACAAAGAAAUUGGAAAAGAAGAGAGAGAGAGAGACCAUGCUACCUUUUGGCCCAGGACAACCCAACCAACUCGCCCAAGUGAACUACGCCAGGUCUAGCCCACGUUCAUCAAUUGUCGUCUUCCUUAGCUCGUCGACUACCCACGCAUUGGUACGCGCCAUCGUUGGCCAAUGUCUGUCAGCUGCGACCACAUUAGCUUGAGGACGGUUACUUAGCGACGAUGUCAGACCCCUGGACAACCCCAGCUAGCUUUCCCUCUCUUCCCCCACUCGCUCUCCUCCCCACCCGCAUCUGAGAACUCCCGUCAUCACGACCUUCGCCCUCGCCGUGGCCAUCAUCAUCCCAUUACCGUGAGAAGCUGUCCAAGAGAUGCUCACGCCUCGACUACGUCGCCUCAUAGGAUUACCUCGAGCAGGACCGCCCCAACGCGAUCGGAUCGACCGUCUUCCUCAUUUGCCACCACCGGAGCACCAUCAUCAAUUUGUCUCCCCUACGCCACUAAACCACAAAUGAUUCUAUCUGUUGUGCUCAUGGUUCCCCUACGAUGACGCACAACCCCCUAAGCCACUGGAUCCGUGCCCACCUGCUCGGAUCCGUUGAGUACCGUCGUUGGGCAUCGCCAAACUCAUCAUUGCGGCUCAUUACGACCCCGUCUGUACAUGCCAGUCAAUGUGCAUUGUCCCACUCAUUUGAACUUUAUCCCCCACCAACCAAAUGGUGACGGAAGAUGAGAUUUCGUCCGUCGUGGUAGUAGUAUUGGUCAUGGGAGCAUGUUGCCAUUUAAACAAUGCAUGGGUCAUUAACGUGGUGGACCAGGUAGCCAGCUAGUUAGAUUAAACUAAUUAAACUAUUAAACUAUGUAUAUUUCUUAGUUGACUUAGAUUUUGGUAUAGUUGAUCUAAAAUAAAUUGCCUAUGACAAGUGGGCCUAAUCCCUACGCUUCUUGCACUAAGUAGAAAGACUUGACGGAAAUCUCCGGUUGGGUUGGUCCUACCAAGAAAGGCAUGGGAGUGGAGAGGAAGAAGUGAAAGACCGGUUACCAAUAAAUAUCACUCACUGCAUACUUUAUAUAGUUAUGUAUUCAUGAUGGACUGCAUGCUCUAGUGUUGAAUCAGCUAUAGAACCUAGGAUGCUUGGUUACAAUUCUGAAUCCGCUAUUUUCACUUUGUUGAAUCAUAAUAAAGAAUACCACUCUCUGAUGAUUUUGUCAGCAUCCAACUGUUCUUGAAUUGGUGCUGACAAUUCAUCACGAAAUAAAUAACUCACUAAGUCGGGAUCGGUAACUAAUAAAAUAGUAUUACUAACUAAUACUAAUAUAUAGAAAUAGAGUUUGAUCCUCGCUCAUGAUGAAUGCUGGCAGCAUGCUUAACACAUGCAAGUCGAGUAAGAAAUGGUGUUUCCAGCUAAGAACGGAUGAGUAAUGCAUAAGAACCUGCCAUUGGGAGGGGAACAACAACUGAAAAUGGUUGCUAAUACCCCAUAGGCUAAGGAGCAAAAGGAUAAAUCUGUUCAACAAGGGGCUCACGUCUGGUUAGCUAGUUGGUGAGGCAAUAGCUUACCAAGGCAAUUAUGACAGUACGGGAAUCCCCGUAAGCCUACGGGGCACCUCACUCUCAAAGCAUGGAAUGCUUCUCACACCUUGGAUCCCUCGUCAUACACUAUGGCUAUGUGUUUUUACUUUCCUUUUCUUUUUUUCCUAUGGAUGAGGGGCCCAUCUGUAAGUUAAAGUGAGGGGAUAGAGUGUCGUUUCAUUAAAAAAUUCCGGACAAUGGGACCCACCCGUAAGUGCCACAUAGAGACAGGGGUAAAAUGUCCACCAAACGCCGUGUAGACGGUCAAAGCCCUUUGACUGGAUGGUAACAACACAAAAUGGUAUUUCUAUAAGGGCACAUAACGGCAAAGGGACAAAUUUGAGAACACUUCGAAAUUAGAGGUAAAUUUGAGUAGUGGCUUUGAAUUAGGGGCACAAAUAAAAAAAGUCUCCUAAAAUAACCUAACAAAUUUAAGAAAACAAGUUGGAUCAUAUUCAAAGUUUGAACAUAAUUUGCAUAAAAUGAUCGAUAUUUCGAUCGAUUAACUAAAAGCUACAAGAAGAAAAAUACUAAACCAUAUACCACACAACCACCUCGUAUGCAUGGUGGUCCUGCCCUGCUGCACCACCUUCGCCGUUCGUGCCAACGUAGUUAUCGUUCUCCCUCCAAUGGUGGAAGGACAGCGAAAGGGCGUCGGAAGGUCGUGACACCCUUUUGCGAUGACUGCAUGGCGCUCACGGAGGAUCCGCUUGGACUCCUCCUAUGCGGUGGAGAGGGCCUCCGUGGAUAGAGCUUGCCCUUUUCGGAGUUGGCGGAGGAGUUCCUAAAUGACUACUCCUCGUCGAUCUCGACGAGCUGCUAGUCAAGGCGGUGGCAUCGAUGAGCAACCUUCUCUACGAUGGUGACAGAGCAGUCGAUAGCCCAUGCGACGGCUAGGUACGGGUCAUUGCGGACCCAUUCUGGCGCCGUGUUGGACUUCAUGAAUUUGGAACGGUGAGCGACAUUGCGUCAAUCAUACCACACAUGUUGCCUCACCGUGUGCUCCUUGUCGGACACGAGGGCCCUAUAGCCCGAGGGACCUUCGUAAAUGCCUCCUCCGAGGGAAUGGAGGAUGCGGCCCUGCACCUUCAUGAUCACGGGCGGCAGCUCCUCCUUUACGGGGCGACGGUUGUGGCAUGGCGGCAACACGGGCGUACUAGCUUUAUACCUGGGGUGAUGUGGACUCGUCCUUGACGCGUCNNNNNNNNNNNNNNNNNNNNNNNNNNNNNNNNNNNNNNNNNNNNNNNNNNNNNNNNNNNNNNNNNNNNNNNNNNNNNNNNNNNNNNNNNNNNNNNNNNNNUCAUGAUCCACUUACACUAGCUCAAGUCCGAUCAUCACGUGAGUUGAGUAUAGUUUCAGUGGUAAGCAUCCCUAUGCUAAUCAUAUCAUCUAUAUGAUUCAUGAUCGACCUUUCGGUCUCAUGUGUUCCGAGGCCAUGUGUGCACAUGCUAGGCUCAUCAAGCUUAACCCGAGUGUUCCGCGUGUGCAACUAUUUUGCACCCGUUGUAUGUGAACGUUGAGUCACGUGGUGUCUCGAAACGACGAAUUAUAGCAACGGUGCACAGUCGGGGAGAACACAAUUUUGUCUUGAAAUUUUAGUGAGAGAUCACCUCAUAAUGCUACCGUCGUUCUAAGCAAAAUAAGGUGCAUAAAAGGAUUAACAUCACAUGCAAUUCACAAGUGACAUAAUAUGGCCAUCAUCACG
Molecule: long non-coding RNA, 9065 nt
Filed under: Hordeum vulgare
Lineage: Eukaryota; Viridiplantae; Streptophyta; Magnoliopsida; Poales; Poaceae
Description: long non-coding RNA (HVUL_LNC016759)
Rfam family: Bacterial small subunit ribosomal RNA (bases 7204-7381)
Source: RNAcentral